Molecule: ribosomal RNA, 435 nt
Filed under: uncultured bacterium
Lineage: Bacteria
Description: partial 16S ribosomal RNA
Rfam family: Bacterial small subunit ribosomal RNA
Source: RNAcentral
UGGGGAAUAUUGCACAAUGGGCGAAAGCCUGAUGCAGCAACGCCGCGUGAGUGAUGAAGGUCUUCGGAUUGUAAAGCUCUGUCUUUUGGGACGAUAAUGACGGUACCAAAGGAGGAAGCCACGGCUAACUACGUGCCAGCAGCUGCGGUAAUACGUAGGUGGCGAGCGUUGUCCGGAUUUACUGGGCGUAAAGGGUGCGUAGGCGGAUGUUUAAGUGAGAUGUGAAAUACCCGGGCUUAACUUGGGUGCUGCAUUUCAAACUGGAUAUCUAGAGUGCAGGAGAGGAGAAUGGAAUUCCUAGUGUAGCGGUGAAAUGCGUAGAGAUUAGGAAGAACACCAGUGGCGAAGGCGAUUCUCUGGACUGUAACUGACGCUGAGGCACGAAAGCGUGGGUAGCAAACAGGAUUAGAUACCCUGGUAGUCCACGCCGUAAAA